AAGCCAGUAAAUAAAUCUGCUUACUUACUUGAAUGUGUUGGCAAGAAUUUAGAAAUAGCUGGCAAUAGUAAAGUCAUGUUAUGAGCCUUUACAGCAUUGAGGUUAUUAAGGUCCCUGAAAGUGGCUACAUAA
Molecule: small nucleolar RNA, 132 nt
Organism: Sorex fumeus (smoky shrew)
Lineage: Eukaryota; Metazoa; Chordata; Mammalia; Eulipotyphla; Soricidae
Product: small nucleolar RNA SNORA33
Exons: 1
Source: RefSeq, a predicted model, not a curated record